CAGCCAGGGGACAGGACAUUUUGUGCGUUAAAAAGAAAGCGACAACGUCGAAACAAAGGAUGACUUUACACAAUUUACAACUCAACGCUGGCAAAAGGGCUUCAACAGUUGCCUCCAUCUACAAAAUAAAUAUUCAAGUAAAUUUAAUUAGGCAAAACGAGGUUUGGGGGAUCACGAUUGACAGAUUUCAGCUUUGACCAGGUCCUACUUUACAUGGGAGAGUCAUGGAUCCAAUGGGUCACUUCUGACGGCUGAGGGGACCGCAGAAUGGGAGGGGUAAAGGUCAUACAGCUUUUUAAUUACGAGAGUUUAUUGAAGAGUAGUCAGUUGGGAUCAGCAGAGAAGGAGGUCAAGGAAACAGAUGUGAAAAGGAGUCACAAGACACAAAAGGCAGAUGAGUGGUUUUCUGAAUGGUAGACUGAGCUCUGAUCAUUAGUGGUCAGUCUCCUAGCCUCCCUCUCUUGGGAACUGACCAUCUCAAGCUCAGGACCUAGAGGCAGGCUGGCACCAGAGGGAAAUGGUCACCUGCAGGACUGGACCUCCAGCAUCCCCCAACAUCAUGAGAGGGCUCUAUGCCAAACGCUAGCUUUCCUAGAGAGAGAUCUAGACUACAUGUGGCUAAACCAUUCUAGAACCCAAACCACCUUGGGCUCAUUGUCCUUUCCAGAGGGGUUCCGAUGUCUGGUACUCCUGGUGACUUAGAACAUGGAGCCCUUGUAGAAUAACUUAUUUACCUUUUGUAACAUUUUGUAAAUUGAUGAAUGGAGGCAAUUAUGAUCAAGAUAGGAUGGAAAGAAUAGAAGGAGGAAACUGAGGGCUACGAACAUGAAGUGGCUGGCCGAAGCCAUUAAGCCAGAGUUCGGGGAAAAGGAGGACCAAUAGUUGGCUAAAAGUGACUAAACAAGUUAAAGAAUUCAUGAACAAAACCUCCGCCGUCUGAACAGAGCAGAACGUGAGGAACGGCAUGUCCAGUUCCGUAACCUUCCUCAUCAAGCCCCCUUCACAGAAGGUCCAACCUGAAGAUCAUUCCAGAAGCCUCCCUGAGAGGACCCUUUGAGGAUCAGGGCAUUGGAAUAAUACAAACACUUGAUUCGUCUGUCCUACCUUUCUCACAAAUAAAUCUGGCAAUAC
Molecule: long non-coding RNA, 1131 nt
Organism: Monodelphis domestica (gray short-tailed opossum)
Lineage: Eukaryota; Metazoa; Chordata; Mammalia; Didelphimorphia; Didelphidae
Source: RefSeq, a predicted model, not a curated record